UUAAAACUUUCAACAACGGAUCUCUUGGUUCUCGCAUCGAUGAAGAACGCAGCGAAAUGCGAUAAGUAGUGUGAAUUGCAGAAUUCAGUGAAUCAUCGAAUCUUUGAACGCACAUUGCGCCUCCUGGUAUUCCGGGAGGCAUGCCUGUUCGAGCGUCAUC
RNAcentral lists this ribosomal RNA (160 nucleotides) under foliar endophyte of Picea glauca sp. B18. RNAcentral's name for it is "5.8S ribosomal RNA". It matches the Rfam family "5.8S ribosomal RNA". From Rfam's summary of the family: 5.8S ribosomal RNA (5.8S rRNA) is a component of the large subunit of the eukaryotic ribosome. It is transcribed by RNA polymerase I as part of the 45S precursor that also contains 18S and 28S rRNA. Functionally, it is thought that 5.8S rRNA may be involved in ribosome translocation. The record is from RNAcentral. Lineage: Eukaryota; Fungi; Ascomycota.